Daphnia pulex (common water flea) is the source of this 269-nucleotide long non-coding RNA. RefSeq lists it as uncharacterized. The record is from RefSeq and is a predicted model, not a curated record. NCBI's taxonomy places the organism in Eukaryota, Metazoa, Arthropoda, Branchiopoda, Diplostraca, Daphniidae. The transcript has 2 exons.
AUAACAGAGAAUGUCAUGUCAAUCCGAUGUCACAAGCAUUCAUGGGGAUCAAAUCGCUGAAGUCUAUGAUGUGCCUAUGGUGGAUAUUAUUCGCCCUUUUCCUCCUGAUCUGAACCAUAGUAAAGUUGAUAGCAUCAUUGACACACUUAAGGUAUAAAUAUAUUUACCAUGCAAGAAUUAAAAAAAAUGUAAAUAUACUGUAUAAAUUCUAAAAUAAGUAAGUACCUAAUUUUUUAUAAUGUGUUACUUAUUACUUUUUUUAUCUAUAA